RNAcentral lists this ribosomal RNA (433 nucleotides) under uncultured bacterium. Its description in RNAcentral is "partial 16S ribosomal RNA". It matches the Rfam family "Bacterial small subunit ribosomal RNA", at positions 29 to 507 of the family's 1533-position model. The record is from RNAcentral.
AACGAACGCUGGCGGCAUGCCUAACACAUGCAAGUCGAACGAAGGCUUCGGCCUUAGUGGCGCACGGGUGCGUAACGCGUGGGAAUCUGCCCUUUGGUUCAGAAUAACAGCUGGAAACGGCUGCUAAUACCGGAUGAUGACGAAAGUCCAAAGAUUUAUCGCCAGAGGAUGAGCCCGCGUUGGAUUAGGUAGUUGGUGGGGUAAAGGCCUACCAAGCCGACGAUCCAUAGCUGGUCUGAGAGGAUGAUCAGCCACACUGGGACUGAGACACGGCCCAGACUCCUACGGGAGGCAGCAGUGGGGAAUAUUGGACAAUGGGCGCAAGCCUGAUCCAGCAAUGCCGCGUGAGUGAUGAAGGCCCUAGGGUUGUAAAGCUCUUUUACCCGGGAAGAUAAUGACUGUACCGGGAGAAUAAGCCCCGGCUAACUCCGUG